UGUAAUGGUGUAGAGCACAUUACUUUUUGGAAGUAAAAGAUGAAAGUUAAUCUUCAAAAUGCGG
This 64-nucleotide transfer RNA is filed under the name Ferosagitta ferox. RNAcentral's name for it is "tRNA-Trp". The record is from RNAcentral. Lineage: Eukaryota; Metazoa; Chaetognatha; Sagittoidea; Aphragmophora; Sagittidae.